RNAcentral lists this ribosomal RNA (686 nucleotides) under Rhizopogon sp. RNAcentral describes it as "LSU rRNA". It matches the Rfam family "Eukaryotic large subunit ribosomal RNA", at positions 51 to 707 of the family's 3401-position model. Lineage: Eukaryota; Fungi; Basidiomycota; Agaricomycetes; Boletales; Rhizopogonaceae. The record is from RNAcentral.
CGGAGGAAAAGAAACUAACAAGGAUUCCCCUAGUAACUGCGAGUGAAGAGGGAAAAGCUCAAAUUUUGAAUCCGGCGGUCUUUGGCCGUCCGAGUUGUAAUCUAGAGAAGCGUCUUCCGCGCUGGACCGUGUAUAAGUUUCCUGGAAUGGAACGUCGUAGAGGGUGAGAAUCCCGUCUUUGACACGGACUCCCAGGGCUAUGUGAUGCGCUCUCGACGAGUCGAGUUGUUUGGGAAUGCAGCUCAAAUAGGGUGGUAAAUUCCAUCUAAAGCUAAAUACAGGCGAGAGACCGAUAGCGAACAAGUACCGUGAGGGAAAGAUGAAAAGAACUUUGGAAAGAGAGUUAAACAGUACGUGAAAUUGCUGAAAGGGAAACGCUUGAUGUCAGUCGCGUUUGCCGGGGAUCAGCCUUGCUUGACUGCUCGGCGUACUUCCUGGUCGACGGGUCAGCAUCAGUUUUGAUCGUCGGAAAAGGGCUCGAGGARUGUGGCACUCCAGAAGGAGUGUGUUAUAGACUCGGGUCGAAUACGAUGAUUGGGACUGAGGAACUCAGCACGGCCUUUAGGGUUCGGGGCUCUGGCCCACGUUAGCGUGCUUAGGAUGCUGGCAUAAUGGCCUUAAGCGACCCGUCUUGAAACACGGACCAAGGAGUCUAACAUGCAUGCGAGUGUUUGGGCGAUGAAAAC